UACGGGGGGAGCAAGCGUUGUUCGGAUUUACUGGGCGUAAAGGGCGCGUAGGCGGCACCGCAAGUCGACUGUGAAAUCUCCGGGCUUAACUCGGAAAGGUCAGCCGAUACUGCGGGGCUAGAGUGCAGAAGGGGCAACUGGAAUUCUCGGUGUAGCGGUGAAAUGCGUAGAUAUCGAGAGGAACACCUGCGGCGAAGGCGGGUUGCUGGGCUGACACUGACGCUGAUGCGCGAAAGCUAGGGGAGCGAAGCGGG
Molecule: ribosomal RNA, 254 nt
Filed under: uncultured bacterium
Lineage: Bacteria
Description: partial 16S ribosomal RNA
Rfam family: Bacterial small subunit ribosomal RNA
Source: RNAcentral